This 397-nucleotide ribosomal RNA is filed under the name uncultured bacterium. RNAcentral describes it as "partial 16S ribosomal RNA". It matches the Rfam family "Bacterial small subunit ribosomal RNA", at positions 523 to 918 of the family's 1533-position model. The record is from RNAcentral.
AUACGUAGGGGGCGAGCGUUGUCCGGAAUGAUUGGGCGUAAAGGGCGCGUAGGCGGCCCGGUAAGUCUGGAGUGAAAGUCCUGUUUUUAAGAUGGGAAUUGCUUUGGAUACUGUCGGGCUUGAGUGCAGGAGAGGUAAGUGGAAUUACCAGUGUAGCGGUGAAAUGCGUAGAGAUUGGGAGGAACACCAGUGGCGAAGGCGACUUACUGGACUGUAACUGACUCUGAGGCGCGAAAGUGUGGGGAGCAAACAGGAUUAGAUACCCUGGUAGUCCACACUGUAAACGAUGAGUGCUAGGUGUAGGGGGUAUCGACCCCUGCUGUGCCGCAGUCAACACAAUAAGCAUUCCGCCUGGGGAGUACGGCCGCAAGGUUGAAACUCAAAGGAAUUGACGGGG